This is a non-coding RNA of Xyrichtys novacula (pearly razorfish), 4045 nucleotides long. NCBI's taxonomy places the organism in Eukaryota, Metazoa, Chordata, Actinopteri, Labriformes, Labridae. The record is from the annotation of a GenBank genome assembly.
GGGGUAGUCUUGCAUAAAGUGUGGCGGCAGGCGGCAUCAUGUGAUGGUGAAUGCUAGCACAGAACAUUACUGUGAUUUGUACUAAAGUCUUCACUCCAAAGAGUCUCUCUCUCCCUCCCUUUUCUCUCUCUCUCUCUCUCUCUCUCUCACACACACACACACACACACACACACUCAGCUUUGACCUGAGAAUGUUCCCUCAGGCCAAAGCAGUGUCACGCAUGUCACAUUAGCUGUCAAAGAAGCUCUCUGUCCUGUGAUCUCUCACCACCCGUCCUCGACUCAUCCCUUCAUUUUUCCUCCCUGCCUUGACUUCUCCUUCUUUUUCUGCCUGUUUUUUCCCUGUUUUUAUACCUCCUCACUAACCUUGUUUUCCUGCCCUUUCUUUCUGCAUUCCUAUCCCCACUCCUCCCUAUAACCCCUCUGCCUCUGUUCCUCCAUUACACUUUCAAACAAUUCAAUGUGGUUUGACAUUAAAUCAAACCCACCGGCGCUGAGAGCAUACCUAAGUGAAAUAAAUCACAUUCUGUACAUUCCUGCCUAAACUGUCUCAUUUUCUACGCCCAACUCCAAACUGAUGGAUCUGCUUGUGAAAACUGGCAUCAGCCCUCCACUGAUGUGAUGGAUUAUCCUCCGUAAUCACAGCUAUGCAAAAAUCAGUCAUAGAAAGUUGCAAAGAGAGCUCAUGUUUUUCAGGGAGCUACUUACUGAGGUGUCGAUUAAUCAAAGUGUAAUAAGCUCAGGAUCAAUUCAGAAUCUCACAUUUUGCUGUAUAAAUUGUGUGUUUGGAAUUAAAAACAUUUAUUGGCACAGACAGCCAAGAUUUAUGGUGGUUUGUGAAGCAUUUGGGAACUGUCGUAAUCCAUCAUGUGUUCAUGCUAACGCUGUACAGAUUUAGUGACUUGCAAUAAAGAAACAAUUCAACACUUAUGGAAAAACACUUAUUUGUUCUUUAGAAAAUUCAUUUCAUGUGCAGGUUCAUACCACUGUGUUGUUUGUGUUAGCAACAAGUUCCCAUUUCCAACUUACACAACAAAGCAACAUCACUUUAGACUAACUCUAAGAAUCUAGGAACUGCUCUUGCAUCAGUUUGAACAAGCUUACAAGCCAUUUACAAUUUCUUAGUUGUGGUUGUCUGCAGGCAGUUAACUUUGUGUAAUAGCUACAUGCGAGAACUUUGACCCACCUCCCAAAUGAAGGUCCUGGGAGUAUCCAAACAUCCAUCACCCAAACCCACCAUCAAUAGUGAACUUUGGUGUUCUUUGUAUCAACAAACUAAACAAGAGUCAAAACCAAAUCUUUUGACUGUUUUCAAAGGUCAUCAAAUUGGCCUACUAACACUUUGCAGUUCAUGGUAACACUCACAUAACCCAUAUGUAAACAAAAGAUAGUGGGUUUCAAUUUUUACAGAGGAUCUUUUUUUUCUGUAACGCAAAAGGACUGAUUUUUUUUCUGUCUCUUUCAAAGUGUUUAGACAUAAAAUCUCAUCAGUGCACUGACAGCACUGUUGCAUCCAAAAAUAGUGUAAAAACAACUGUACAAACACAUUAUAAUUUUGAUAAUAGAACUGUAAUUAUUUUAUGCUGUAUGAAUUUGUCGAAUAAGCAGAAGCUCCAUUAACACAUACUCAGACCUGCAGACACACACAGUGCUGUCCCGCCCUGCUGGCUCUGGCAUUACCCAUCGCCACCACCCCCCACACUCUUCCUCUGUUACUACCACACCAAAGAUCACAACUCUUUCUAUGUGUAACACAAUGCAGACAAGUUGUAACAAAGGUCUAAAUAGUCUGUCCAGACCUGGUAAUUUGUACAAUGGUGCACAGUAUUAUGCAUGAACAUGCUUAAAUGAUCGCAUUUAUGCGUGAACAAGCUAAUAUCGUGGUGAAUCGUGAACUUAGCAGCUAAUUUUGAAUUUUGAAUUUUAAUGAAUGAGAACGUUAGCUCACUCUAGAGAAGGUAAACAGCCGCUCACUUUCUGGGAGGAUCUGAGAGUUGGUAAGUUACCAAGCAUAAUGUGUUUCGACGGCCAAGGUCAGAUGUACGUUCUAAGUUGUGCCAAUGAAGCCAAUUCUAUUGAACAUCUAAAGAUUUUUUUUUCUUUUUUAACAAAUCAGUACAGAUCCCACUGGGUUACUGACCCAUAUGAUUUCAGAGAGGUGCUUUCUUUAGAGACUGGAGAGUAAUUCACUUUUGUGUUCGGUUGGUGUUUCUUUAUCCCAAACCCUUUUAUUUUAGAGGAUGUAAAAAUCAUCUUUCCUACGUCAUCAGCCACAGAACUGAUUUUUUCUAGGUUAAAGUUUGGAAAGUGUCAGUAAUUGGGGAAUAGAAAGUGAAGUUUAGACGGUUCUGCUGACGGAUAAUUUAGGUGUAGCCAAAAUAAAGUGAAUUUGAACUGGUCUGUUAUUUAGACCAUGAACUUUAAAAUCCAAAAUUUAAAAAAAAACUAUUGAUGUGGACUACUUUGUUAGGAUCUGUCGGAGCUGAACUUUGAGCUAACUUUUAAUAUGAACUUGCAUAACUCUAAUUAUUCCAUUUGAUCCAGGAAGUUGGAAACCCUUGUGGGGAACAUCACCUGGACUAGCCCAUGCAGUCUGAAUUUCUACUUUCAAUUUCACCCAUUCCAAGCUUGAAAUAUAAGAUGGUGGCUCCUGUUUCAACAGUCAAGUAGCAGUACUUUUGAUAGUGUUUAAUUGCAACAUAGUCUAAUUUUGUGUAAAAGAAUUGAUCGUACCAAAGUAUUGUGCAUGUUAUCAUGUUGCUUUUACACAUACAGUUCCUGACUACUCUGUGUUGUUACUGCUUGGUAUUAGCCAACAGUGCUAACAACAACAGGAGAUAAUAGAUACACAACUUUUGGUCUUGUAUCUGAAACAUGGCCAGCUCAAAUGUUAAAUCAUUCCUGACCCUGACAUCUGACUCCCUAAGUGAGUUGACCACAUCACGAUCCACACCAAGUCUUUCCAAACACAACACACAAAUGUGCAGGGCUGGAUGAGGACAUUGUAAGUUUUGGGAUUGGGGUGUGAACAAAGCCGGUCUGAACUUUUUCUGCUCCAAACAUUCUUUACUGUUUUUCUAUCCUUGCAGUCCACCUUUGAACACGUUCCUGCGACAUGUGCAGCAAACACGUGCCAGCUUACGGCACUCAAAAACCAUUAGCAGAAGUUUUCUUAACUUUAAAACAUUUGAGAUGCAGUAAUCCUUUUCUCAACCUUUUGGUGCAUACUGAAGUAUUUAUGGAAGCCAACAGCACUGUUUGAGGCGCAAGUAUGCAAAUUUAUGACACAUUAGCUUUCUGUGCUAUCAAAGACUUUCUCUUACCUGUUUGACUGCCAUUCCUAUCUUUUGAUCUCAUUUAAAAACACAGCUUCUGACAGAAAUACAAAAAUGAAAACCACAUGCGCAUAUCUUGAUGUUCAGGGCUUGGUUUUUCUUAAUGUUACAAUAUUUAUUUUGGAUUGAUAGCACAAGCAGAACAGCUUUCAGUCUGGCAUUGCUUCGACUAACAUUUGGAAAGAACAAAGAAAAUAUGCUUUCAUUAUGAGAGAGAGAGUGAGAGCCAGAGAGAGCUAGAGAGCGAGAGAGUAUGUGUGGUUCAGUCAUGGAUAUACUUCAAGGAGAAAUGUUGAACCAAACUCAAAUUGAGAUGUCACGUGUGCUACGAGAACAAAAAAUGAAAGUAUGUGAGUUUAAGUUGGCACCAAGGUUUUUCAAUUUAAUUUCACACUUUCAGGACUAGUUGAUGAAUGACACAAAAAUGAUACUCAUCGCUCAUUUUUUCACACAUGCUAUGAACACAUGGACAGAGACGCACAUCUUUCUUGGUGGAGGAGGUUUGGGUGAAGCAGGAGGUGGGCAUACUUCACUGAGCAGAAAGAACUUACCAAACCUAUAAAUAUAGACAUGAUGGCUUUUUUUUUCAUCCAUUUUUACUCUCAGAGGACAUUUCGACUUUGUGUCUCAAUCCUACACUGUUAUCUAAACUCCUCUGUUUUACCCCAGUGUGACGGCAAGUCUAUUGGGUCCAGAGUACAAGAAGGCAA